This is a long non-coding RNA of Neltuma alba, 77 nucleotides long. RefSeq lists it as uncharacterized. The record is from RefSeq and is a predicted model, not a curated record. The transcript is spliced from 3 exons. NCBI's taxonomy places the organism in Eukaryota, Viridiplantae, Streptophyta, Magnoliopsida, Fabales, Fabaceae.
GUAUCAAUAACAUGUUCUUGAGGCUUUAAAAAGUGGUCUGAUAUUUGGAAGCUUUGAUUCUGAUUUUGAUAAGAAGG